AGUGAACGCUGGCGGUAGGCCUAACACAUGCAAGUCGAACGGCAGCACAGUAAGAGCUUGCUCUUACGGGUGGCGAGUGGCGGGCGGGUGAGGAAUACAUCGGAAUCUACUUUUUCGUGGGGGAUAACGUAGGGAAACUUACGCUAAUACCGCAUACGACCUACGGGUGAAAGCAGGGGAUCUUCGGACCUUGCGCGAUUGAAUGAGCCGAUGUCGGAUUAGCUAGUUGGCGGGGUAAAGGCCCACCAAGGCGCCGAUCCGUAGCUGGUCUGAGAGGAUGGUCAGCCACACUGGAACUGAGACACGGUCCAGACGCCUACGGGAGGCAGCAGUGGGGAAUAGUGGACAAUGGGCGCAAGCCUGAUCCAGCCAUACCGCGUGGGUGAAGGAGGCCUUCGGGUUGGAAAGCCGUUUUGUUGGGAAAGAAAAGCAGCAGGUUAAUACCCCGCUGUUCUGACGGUACCCAAAGAAUAAGCACCGGCUAACUUCGUG
This 492-nucleotide ribosomal RNA is filed under the name uncultured bacterium. Its description in RNAcentral is "partial 16S ribosomal RNA". It matches the Rfam family "Bacterial small subunit ribosomal RNA", at positions 29 to 507 of the family's 1533-position model. The record is from RNAcentral.